This 377-nucleotide ribosomal RNA is filed under the name uncultured bacterium. RNAcentral's name for it is "bacterial SSU rRNA". It matches the Rfam family "Bacterial small subunit ribosomal RNA", at positions 790 to 1167 of the family's 1533-position model. The record is from RNAcentral.
GUAGUCCACGCCGUAAACGUUGGGCGCUAGGUGUGGGGGCCAUUCCACGGUCUCCGUGCCGCAGCUAACGCAUUAAGCGCCCCGCCUGGGGAGUACGGCCGCAAGGCUAAAACUCAAAGGAAUUGACGGGGGCCCGCACAAGCGGCGGAGCAUGUUGCUUAAUUCGAUGCAACGCGAAGAACCUUACCUAGGCUUGACAUGUGCGGAAAUCCUCCAGAGAUGGUGGGUCCGUAAGGGUCGCACACAGGUGGUGCAUGGUUGUCGUCAGCUCGUGUCGUGAGAUGUUGGGUUAAGUCCCGCAACGAGCGCAACCCUCGUUCCAUGUUGCCAGCACGUAAUGGUGGGGACUCAUGGGAGACUGCCGGGGUCAACUCGGA